AUGUGUGAAGUGCGUGGUGUGUUCUCUACGCCCUUCCCCCAGAAUGUCCUUGUCAGGAAAUCAGUGGGAAGGGAAAUGCCCGGCAACUCGCUCAUCUUGCUAGGGCCUUUAUUUCCUUUCAGUAUUGUUAUACUACUAACAAGGCGCAUAAGUCAACUGCGCAGUGCAGACAGUGUGCACUGGGCAUGCAGCAAACGCAACGGCCAGGUGCUCAGCUUUUCGGCGCUGAAAGAAACUUCCAUCCACCACAAGAGGGCCUACCGUGAAACAACCGCUAGUGGCCGGUGCUCGAUGGCCGGCAUGCCGGGCAAUGGAGCUUGCUCCUCCAUUCUUAUGGACUACCCAGUGUGA
This 351-nucleotide ribosomal RNA is filed under the name Triticum aestivum (bread wheat). RNAcentral's name for it is "partial small subunit ribosomal RNA". The record is from RNAcentral. Lineage: Eukaryota; Viridiplantae; Streptophyta; Magnoliopsida; Poales; Poaceae.